GACGAACGCUGGCGGCGUGCCUAAUACAUGCCAGUCGUGCGGACCUUGUUGAAAGCUUGCUUUUAAAAGGUUAGCGGCGGACGGGUGAGUAACACGUGAGCAACCUUCCUGUAAGACUGGGAUAACGCCGGGAAACCGGGGCUAAUACCAGAUCGUUUUUUCCUCCGCAUGGAGGAAAAAGGAAAGGCGGCUUCGGCUGCCACUUACAGAUGGGCCCGCGGCGCAUUAGCUAGUUGGCGGGGUAAUGGCCCACCAAGGCAACGAUGCGUAGCCGACCUGAGGGGGUGAUCGGCCAAAUUGGGAAUGGGACACCGCCCAAACUCCCACGGGGAGGAGCAAUAGGGGAACUUCCGAAAUGGGCGAAAGUCUUACGGAGCAACGCCGCGUGGGUGAAGAAGGCCUUCGGGUCGUAAAAGUCUGUUGACGGGGAAGAAAGAGUGCCAUUCGAACAGGGCGGCGCCUUGACGGUACCCGGACAGAAAGCCACGGCUAACUACGUG
This 500-nucleotide ribosomal RNA is filed under the name uncultured bacterium. Its description in RNAcentral is "partial 16S ribosomal RNA". It matches the Rfam family "Bacterial small subunit ribosomal RNA", at positions 28 to 507 of the family's 1533-position model. The record is from RNAcentral.